AUUGAACGCCGGCGGCAUGCCUUACACAUGCAAGUCGAACGGUAACAGGUCUUCGGAUGCUGACGAGUGGCGAACGGGUGAGUAAUACAUCGGAACGUGCCCGAUCGUGGGGGAUAACGAAGCGAAAGCUUUGCUAAUACCGCAUACGAUCUACGGAUGAAAGCAGGGGAACGCAAGGCCUUGCGCGAACGGAGCGGCCGAUGGCAGAUUAGGUAGUUGGUGGGAUAAAAGCUUACCAAGCCGACGAUCUGUAGCUGGUCUGAAAGGACGACCAGCCACACUGGGACUGAGACACGGCCCAGACUCCUACGGGAGGCAGCAGUGGGGAAUUUUGGACAAUGGGCGAAAGCCUGAUCCAGCAAUGCCGCGUGCAGGAUGAAGGCCUUCGGGUUGUAAACUGCUUUUGUACGGAACGAAAAGCCCCGGGUUAAUACCCUGGGGUCAUGACGGUACCGUAAGAAUAAGCACCGGCUAACUACGUGCCAGCAGCCGCAGUAA
RNAcentral lists this ribosomal RNA (498 nucleotides) under uncultured bacterium. RNAcentral describes it as "partial 16S ribosomal RNA". It matches the Rfam family "Bacterial small subunit ribosomal RNA", at positions 30 to 523 of the family's 1533-position model. The record is from RNAcentral.